RNAcentral lists this ribosomal RNA (253 nucleotides) under uncultured bacterium. RNAcentral's name for it is "partial 16S ribosomal RNA". It matches the Rfam family "Bacterial small subunit ribosomal RNA", at positions 524 to 776 of the family's 1533-position model. The record is from RNAcentral.
UACGUAGGGGGCAAGCGUUGUCCGGAUUUAUUGGGCGUAAAGAGCGUGUAGGCGGCCAGACAGGUCCGUUGUGAAAACUAGAGGCUUAACCUCUAGACGUCGAUGGAAACCGUCUGGCUAGAGUCCGGAAGAGGAGAAUGGAAUUCCUGGUGUAGCGGCGAAAUGCGCAGAUAUCAGGAAGAACACCCGUGGCUAAGGCGGUUCUCUAGUACGGUACUGACGCUGAGACGCGAAAGCGUGGGGAGCGAACAGG